CUAAGAGUUGAUCCCUUGCCUCAGAAAAAGAAUGGUAACGCAAUCUCCAGGUCUUCCAGUCCUCCUGGGUUUAAAGAACAGUCAAAAGAUGCAGCAAAGGAUAAUCCCAUGGCCUCAAUUUCAUUGGACGUGAAAUUAAAGAAUUCUCAGAAUUUACAAGCUCAGGAAAGCACUUCAAGCAGCGGCACAGAAGCAGAAGGGGAAAAAACAAGGACAAAGUUAUAGAGGUUGUGCAUAGGAAGACUGGUGAAGACAAGGAUGAAGAACAGAGGAAUGGCUGUCAAACCCAACAGUUUCCAAUUACUUCGUCAGUUGAUUCUGAAAAUGUGAAAAUGAGUCCUCCAGCAACCUUACUGCAGAGAAGACUGGAAAAAAUGAUGACAACUGUGUAAUCAAAGAGGAUAAAGGAUCAAGAAAUGCAGAUGGGC
RNAcentral lists this unclassified non-coding RNA (428 nucleotides) under Hevea brasiliensis (rubber tree). The record is from RNAcentral. Lineage: Eukaryota; Viridiplantae; Streptophyta; Magnoliopsida; Malpighiales; Euphorbiaceae.